AAGGCCAGCUACAGUUGCCGUCUGGCGCAGGAGGUAACGGGUGGGAAGGAGCGGCGUUGGGAAGCGCUCGGGUCCGCCACCGCCAUCAUGAGCUAUUCAGGUUAUGGAAAUUGGAAUUCUGGAACAAAUAGAGGUUACGAAGAUUAUAAUUAUGGAUAUGGAUACGGUCAGGAUAACUCUGGCAAUUAUGGGUAUGGUAUGGGCACUUCAAACUCUUGGGAAAUGCCUAAUUCAAAUACAGACAUGAACUUUAACGCAUCCACUGGUACCAGCGCUGAUGAUGUAAUUUCAAAUUUUAACCAGCGCUUAGAUAUGGUAUCUCAUCUAGACACUGAAACGAUGCAAGGAGGACAUUAUGGCUCAGGUGGAGACAGGUAUGAUACAUAUGAACCCUAUGAUUCAAGGUCUGCAAUGAAUGACCGUGAUCCAUACAGAUCUGGCUAUGAUUACAGUGAGGCUAAACAUGAAACCGACAAUACCUAUGAAGGUCACUAUGACAGCUCCUAUGGCAACCGCAGGGACCAGUACCACAAUAGGGCACGUGACAACUUUGGCCACAGAGGUCAAAAUUGGGCCAGAGAUGGAAGAAAUAACAGAGGCAUGGCACCUUCAUAUGGGCGUAUGGGUGGACAAUGGAAUGACCCACCAGUACCAAUGGGAGGACGGGGUCAUGGCCCCAACAGACCACCAUCACUUUUUUCCCACAAACUAUUCCCUGAUUACAACAUGUUCCAGGGUAUGCGAGGUUACUCUGGCAAUAUGCGUUUUGGAGGAGGAAGCAUGAAACAACGAAUGAGGAGAAACUGGAAAAUGUGGGAUGCAGAUUUUAAAAAGAAAAGAAUAAAGAAUGAGACAACUGGUAAUAAACGUAAACAAGCUAACAGUUCUGAUGAACCUGAUAGCAAAGCAGCAAAAACAGAUAACUCAGAUAACUCAGACUCUGAUAAUGAAGAAGGGCCUGAAGGAGAAGCUGCUGAGAAGGGUUCUAAAAAUGAGGGAGAGGGGGAUGGUGCUGAAGAUGAAGAAAGAAAAGAAGAAUCGGAGAAAGGUGCUCUGACAAUUCAAGAAGAAAUCAGCCAAAUUAAGCGCAAAUUGCAAGCUGGGAAGAAAACUCAAGAGAGGCAAAAAAAACGUUACCGUGAUCGUAUGGUAGAAAGAAUUCAGUUUGUGUGUUCAUUGUGCAAGUAUCGCACUUUCUAUGAAGAUGAGAUGACCAAUCAUUUGGAAAGCAAAUUUCAUAAAGAGCAUUUUACAUUUGUUGGAACCAAGCUACCCAAGCAGACUGCUGACUUCCUGCAAGAAUAUGUAGCUAACAAAACAAAGAAGACAGAAGAACGUCGUAAAGCAAUUGAAGAUAUUAAUGCAGUUAUACAACAGAUUUACAAAGACCAAGAUCUUACACAAGAUAUAGGUAUGGAACAUUUUGUAAAAAAGGUGGAGGCUGCUCACUGUGUUGCCUGUGACCUUUUCAUCCCAAUGCAAUAUGGAAUCAUCCAGAAACAUCUGAAAUCUCUUGAUCAUAACCACAACCGUAGAGCUAUGAUGGAACAGUCCAAGAAAUCGUCAUUAGUAGUUGCAAGAAGUAUUCUUAACAAUAAACUUAUCAGUAAAAAAUUGGAGAGGUAUCUAAAGGGUGAGAAUCCCUUCACAGAUGAUCCUGAAGAGAAAGAGGAACAUGAAGAAAGUGAGGCAGGAACAAGUGGGAUCAUUGAGGAAACAGCAGCUGAAAGUGAAGGAAACCUAAAUGAAGAGCAAAGUAAAAGUGAUGAUAAUCCUGAGGAAAAUCCAGUGGCUGACGAAAGUGCAGAAAGCAAAGGUGAAGGAGAAGAACUACAAGGACAAAUGGAGGAAUGGAAUUUGACCACAUCUCAAGGUGUUGCUACCGAACAGAAUACAGAACCUGAAGAAGAAAAAGAAGAAACACAAGAGAAACAAGACAUUGUACCUUCAGAGAAGAUGGAACCACCUGAUGAGUGAACUUGCAAAGAAGGUUGAAUCAUUUUGAGACUCUGCAUUAAAUCUUCUAAAACCAUACCUGUAUUUGUGACACACCAUGGCACGUGGCUUUUGGUUUUCAUUGACCUCACUUUCACCUGGUUAACAGCCUUUAUUUUGGAGAUCAAGCAAUGGAACCUGAAAAUAUUCAAUGGACAUAUUUUCCUGGAAACCUGCUACAUUAGCAAAGACAAGGGUGAGUGAAGGAAUCAUUACACACUGGGUGGAGACCUUUCAGCCAUAUAAUACUUCUUCUUCCUUAAGACUCAAGCACCAAAUAACUGGUGGAGAAACAUGUAAAAAUAUGUUUGUGAGUAAAAAGCAUUUAGCAAAGUUUGAAUGUAUUGCUUAUUUUUAAUGUAUAAUGACUCAAGCGUUCAUACUGGUAGCUUUGUCUUGUACUCAAUCAAGUUGUAGAUAAUAAUAAAUUUUAUGAAUGUUGGGAGUACUAAAAUUCCAGUAUAAACUUGUAUUUAUACAUAUGGGUUGGCAUCUUAAAAGGUAUUAGUGGGCUGAACAAAGAAUGAGAAGUUUACAAAACAGUGUUGAGGUAUUCGCUUUCUGGAAAUAACUGACAGAGACAGAGGUUGCUAAUAUAGCACUUGAGUAAAAUAUUCCAUCUUCUUUCAACAUUUGGGUCCACAUACAUGCCAGUGGUAUGUUUUUGCAAAAUGGUAUUAGUUGCUAUGAUAAUUUUCUUUAAAUCAGAAAAAUGAAUGUUUAUCAAGCCACAUGUUAAUUCCAAAUGAAUAGUACUUACCAUUACCUUAGAAUAACUCAAAUUCAUUAUUUCUUGGACUAUUAGUCAAUUUGAAGGCAAAUUUACUCAUAGUCUGAGUACUUAUACUUGGGAUUCAGCCUUACUAUGUAUUGAGAUAAACAUAAAACAAAUCUAUAUUUUCAUAUAACUUUAAAACCAGGGGUGUUCUUUUUAUUAUUAUAUUUUUAUCCCGCCUUUUUAAUAUAUAACCCAAGGGGGAAAAUAAUUCUCCUGCCUCCUGUUUUCCUCACAACAACCACGCUGUGAGGUGGAUUGUUCUGAGAGAGAGAGUGAUUCACCCAGCCUCUUUUCAUGCCUAAUAGGACUGGAACUCUAAGUCUUCUUGGUUUUUCAUUCAGCACCUUCACUGCUGCACCAUACUGGCUUUCCAGUUUCUCUCUCUGGAUUGUGAUAUUUGUACAGGGCAGUUUGCACUGAUGAAGGAUGCUAACUUUUUCCCAGUAUCUGAUACGUUCUUCCUUUGACCCUGUUCUCUCCUUCUCCUCUCUCCCCCCUUCCAAUAUACUCCAGCUGGGACAUAAAUCUUGGAGAGGAAUCCCCUUCUGUUUGAAAUAAGGUACUACUGGAUGGGAAGCAGCCUUGAAUAGAAUUAAUGAGGUUGGGAAUUAACCAAUUAUUUUGUAGAGCCUCAUCUGCAAAUGAUGCUUUGAUACUCCAGGUACAUAAUAACAUAUGGUGAUAACUCAGUUUUUCUGCCUUUUGAAAAUUUGAAUCUGUAUACUUGAAAGAAAAUGCUACUGUAAUUAGUGGUUUUAUUUCAAAUUACAUAGGCAGAUGAUUGCAAUUGACUGAACUAUGUCUAUUCAAUUAAAUAUAUAUUUUCUAAAUAUAUAUGCAUUGGAUCUGGCCAUGGGUCAGGCCAUGGGUUUCCACAUUGCAUUUUGAGUUAAGCCUUUUUUCUUUCAUGUAGGAGUAGCUAUUUAAGCUAUCUAUAAUUGUUUUGUGGAACCAUUAUUAGAUUAAAACUCUAUUUUCUAAAUUGCAAUCUGGAGAAUACAAAAGCACAUUUCAAAACCGUUGUACUCAAAGUUAAGAAAUUAUUGAGCUGUUAUAUGUAUGUAUUGUUGCAUACCUGGUAUUGUUGAUAGAAUCAAAGAAAUAGUCUGCCCUAUUCUAGCCUCUGGAGUUACAGUUUCCACAUUCCUGGAAUCUAAAGGAAACUUCCAUUUUUCCAGCAAAAUUUCUUCUGCUGGAGCACAUGGAAGAUCAAUGUAACCUGCCCCCCUAAAAUCUCACUUCUUUACCUAAUUUUUCCAGAUAGUUAGAAAUAUUUCUUAACAAAAUUUGAGGGCAUAUGAAGUCUGAAAGGUGGAAGAAAACAAUCAAUAGCCCAACUUUAUAAAUUUAAUAUCUGAUUUUAUUUGUCCAUGGUUUUCUUAACUUCAAAGAAGAUAUUACAAUAACCAGAUUAUUUUGCUUGCUGAUUAUAACUGAAAUGGUAAAAUAAUUGUCUUUUAUGCACUUUUCAUAUUCAUAUAAGAAUUUCAAUUCAUAUUGGUGUAAAGUGUUGAUGUUCUCCAACUAUUAGAUUCUGAAUGAAAAAAAACUGUAAUAAAUAGAAAAAUAUUUGUAAUUCCCUUUUCCUAUGAAUUACAGAAUAUAUUGUAAUUAGCUGUCACUGAACAAAUAGCUCAAGUUUCAUACAUUUUUUGUAUCUCAGGAAGUGUUUUCCUAUGACUUAAGAGGCUUAGAAAAAGGCUUUAAAAUUUUAUCUUCCAAGAAAACUGGAAAAAAAAUCAGUGAUUGACAUAAUAAGCUUUGUGGAUUUAAUCAAAUAUAUGCUUUUCGUUAUUAAAAGGCAAGGCAAGUGAUUUUAAAAAUACCAUUCUGCUUGUGGAUAUUUCAUCCACAAACAGAAUGGUAUUUGCAAAAGAAUGGGUGCAUUCUUUUGCAAUAUUAUAAAGUUAAUGUUAAAAUUACUUUGCCUAUGUUGUUUUAAUUGAGUCUGACUGAUAAUUGUAGGAAUUGAGGAAUUGAUGGAUUAAAUAUUUUGAGAAAAGAGGUUAAAAAGGUUGUAUCUCUGGAAUUGGUCCAAAAAAACUUAAAAAGGACAACAAAAUGUAUGGUAGAGCAGCAAGACAUAUUACAGAGUGAGGAGAAAGACUUGUUCUACUUUUGUAGGAAUAGAUCGAUAGGCAUAAGAAAGAGUUUAUAGUGGCAUAUCUGAUUGUUGGAGCAGCAAUUCUCCAGAAGCUCUGGUAUUCUCCUAGGCCAGCUAACCAAGAGAUUGUUUUUGUCUCUAGUUCCAAUUGUUUAAAAAUUAUUCAUUAUAUAAACGUACUCUCUUUACUCUACUUCCAUAUAACGCAUACUAUAAUUUCUAUCUCUGCAUAGGAGAAGAAUGCCAGGAUCAAUGCCUUUCUUUAUAAACAAUAUAAAUAUUCUUACAUUAUAAAGAGUUACAUAGCAGAAAAAUUGCAUCUCAUCUUCUGUCACUGCUGCAGCACAAGUUUCUCUUCUGCUUGAAUGUUAUUGACUGUGUUCCUGCAUGAAAUACUAAAUUUGCACAUCGAUUGUUUUUAAAAUUGUAUUUUUCAUGAACAACAAUAUUCUCUCUGUAUAGACAUUUUUAAAUCAACUCCUAGUGAUUGCAUUUCAGCAGUUUUCUUGGCAGCAUUAUGGAAGUGAUUUGAUACUUCCACCUUCUAAGAUGUUUUUAUUCCUUCUCCGUCUAGUGAGUCCUAGAGUCAGACAUUCUUCCAUUCAAAUAUUAACCAGGGUUAAUCCUGCUUUGCUUUUCAAAUGGCAAAGAUUUAUAGAACCACCUGCUCAGAUUUCAUUAUUUAAAAAGAGCUCAUUCAGACAGCCAUGAAGUGUUUUCCUUCAGUCUAUUAGCAUUUGUAUUAUUAUUACAGGUUUUAGCUUUAAGAGUACAAGAAGUUCCUUUAUUGCUAACAAUUUGUCCUCCCCUUGUCAUCAAUUUCUAUUCUACUUCAAUAAUUAACUUGGCAAGUACUAUCCUUAUUGCCUUAAUGUAGGACAAGUUAAGAAAAAUAUUUGGUAGCUUCUUCUGGCUUUAUUUUCCCUCCCACUUAAUGUCACCUUAGUGGGAAAAUAACCACCAAUUUGAGAUGUCCUUGGUGCUCUCUGACCUUGCUUGUUUCUUUGUAGAGGUUUCAUUAUCCAAAUUAGGUAACAUCAUCAGUGCUAGUAAGGAGUGCAGUUUGCUGUAACCUCCUUUUUUGGCUGGGUGAUAGUCUCUUUUGCAUAGUCUAUAGAUGUUAUAUGUGUCUAGUGGUGGUUGAUUUGUCAGAGUGCCGGGCUUCUAGAAAUCCCUUGGAAACAAUCAACCAGCCAAAAAGGGAACAAAAUUACCAAGCACCUCUCCACCAGUAAUCAGCAGCCAGAUCAGCAUACAUUAACUUCAAGAUUAACAUCAGAUCAACAAUCAAGUAAGCAAUACCCCAAUCAAGAAACUGCCAAAAAAGCCAACAGCAAACAGUUCAAUCAAAAAAUCUCUAAGAUCAUCCCCCACCAACAUUUACAGGGCAAGGUACUAGAAUAUAAACUGACAGCAAACCACACUCCUUACUACAGUAGCACUGGU
This is a non-coding RNA of Thamnophis sirtalis, 6323 nucleotides long. The record is from RefSeq and is a predicted model, not a curated record. NCBI's taxonomy places the organism in Eukaryota, Metazoa, Chordata, Lepidosauria, Squamata, Natricidae.